AACGAACGCUGGCGGCAUGCCUAACACAUGCAAGUCGAACGAGACCUUCGGGUCUAGUGGCGCACGGGUGCGUAACGCGUGGGAACCUGCCCUUAGGUUCGGAAUAACUCCCCGAAAGGGGUGCUAAUACCGGAUAAUGUCUUCGGACCAAAGAUUUAUCGCCUUUGGAUGGGCCCGCGUUGGAUUAGCUAGUUGGUAGGGUAAAAGCCUACCAAGGCGACGAUCCAUAGCUGGUCUGAGAGGAUGAUCAGCCACACUGGGACUGAGACACGGCCCAGACUCCUACGGGAGGCAGCAGUGGGGAAUAUUGGACAAUGGGCGAAAGCCUGAUCCAGCAAUGCCGCGUGAGUGAUGAAGGCCUUAGGGUUGUAAAGCUCUUUUACCCGGGAUGAGAAUGACAGUACCGGGAGAAUAAGCUCCGGCUAACUCCGUG
RNAcentral lists this ribosomal RNA (433 nucleotides) under uncultured bacterium. RNAcentral describes it as "partial 16S ribosomal RNA". It matches the Rfam family "Bacterial small subunit ribosomal RNA", at positions 29 to 507 of the family's 1533-position model. The record is from RNAcentral.